This 459-nucleotide ribosomal RNA is filed under the name uncultured Bacillota bacterium. RNAcentral's name for it is "bacterial SSU rRNA". It matches the Rfam family "Bacterial small subunit ribosomal RNA", at positions 922 to 1382 of the family's 1533-position model. Lineage: Bacteria; Bacillati; Bacillota. The record is from RNAcentral.
CGCACAAGCGGUGGAGCAUGUGGUUUAAUUCGAAGCAACGCGAAGAACCUUACCAGGUCUCGACAUCCUUUUGAAUACACUAGAGAUAGUGUAGGCCUUCGGGACAGAAGAGACAGGUGGUGCAUGGUUGUCGUCAGCUCGUGUCGUGAGAUGUUGGGUUAAGUCCCGCAACGAGCGCAACCCUUGUCAUUAGUUACUAACAUUAAGUUGAGGACUCUAAUGAGACUGCCAGUGAUAAACUGGAGGAAGGUGGGGAUGACGUCAAAUCAUCAUGCCCCUUAUGACCUGGGCUACACACGUGCUACAAUGGUCGGUACAAAGAGUCGCGAAGCCGUGAGGCCAAGCUAAUCUCAUAAAACCGAUCUCAGUUCAGAUUGUAGUCUGCAACUCGACUACAUGAAGUCGGAAUCGCUAGUAAUCGCGAAUCAGCAUGUCGCGGUGAAUACGUUCUCGAGUCUU